RNAcentral lists this unclassified non-coding RNA (405 nucleotides) under Hevea brasiliensis (rubber tree). The record is from RNAcentral. Lineage: Eukaryota; Viridiplantae; Streptophyta; Magnoliopsida; Malpighiales; Euphorbiaceae.
AAGAAAUCAACCGCCAUUCACUACAAUGAUGAUUAAAAAAAAAAGUAUUUUUACAGGAAAUUAUUGUUGUCAAACGUAUCUACGGAAAAGGAGAAAAAAAGAAUUUUUUUACCAGCAUACAACAAAAUUUCUAAUGGUAACUAUUUCUGAACAGGAGCUUCCGAAUAAACUACAUAGAAGUUCAGAAGCACUUGGCAAUACAAAACCAUCACUAACUCUUCAUAUACUAUGGAUCUCUAUCUUCAAUAACAAUAUAAUGAAAUGAAGAAGAUGACACCAAGAAUUAGAACUAGUAUGACACAGCACAAAAUGUAAUGUGAAAUCACCAAGAUCAACAUGACCGAAGCAAAACAGGACCCACAGAUGAGCUGAGCAUAUCACUAAGAGCUACUUGGACCUCAUUUG